RNAcentral lists this transfer RNA (90 nucleotides) under Aurantiacibacter xanthus. RNAcentral describes it as "Erythrobacter xanthus tRNA-Ser". It matches the Rfam family "tRNA". From Rfam's summary of the family: Transfer RNA (tRNA) molecules are approximately 80 nucleotides in length. Their secondary structure includes four short double-helical elements and three loops (D, anti-codon, and T loops). Further hydrogen bonds mediate the characteristic L-shaped molecular structure. tRNAs have two regions of fundamental functional importance: the anti-codon, which is responsible for specific mRNA codon recognition, and the 3' end, to which the tRNAs corresponding amino acid is attached (by aminoacyl-tRNA synthetases). tRNAs cope with the degeneracy of the genetic code in two manners: having more than one tRNA (with a specific anti-codon) for a particular amino acid; and 'wobble' base-pairing, i.e. permitting non-standard base-pairing at the 3rd anti-codon position. Lineage: Bacteria; Pseudomonadati; Pseudomonadota; Alphaproteobacteria; Sphingomonadales; Erythrobacteraceae. The record is from RNAcentral. RNAcentral also lists the same sequence under 2 other names.
GGACAGGUGGCAGAGCGGUUGAAUGCACCGGUCUUGAAAACCGGCGAGGAUGCAAGUCCUCCGUGGGUUCGAAUCCCACCCUGUCCGCCA